RNAcentral lists this ribosomal RNA (496 nucleotides) under uncultured bacterium. RNAcentral's name for it is "partial 16S ribosomal RNA". It matches the Rfam family "Bacterial small subunit ribosomal RNA", at positions 28 to 506 of the family's 1533-position model. The record is from RNAcentral.
GAUGAACGCUGGCGGCGUGCCUAAUACAUGCAAGUCGAGCGAACAGACGAGGAGCUUGCUCCUCUGACGUUAGCGGCGGACGGGUGAGUAACACGUGGAUAACCUACCUAUAAGACUGGGAUAACUUCGGGAAACCGGAGCUAAUACCGGAUAAUAUAUUGAACCGCAUGGUUCAAUAGUGAAAGACGGUUUUGCUGUCACUUAUAGAUGGAUCCGCGCCGCAUUAGCUAGUUGGUAAGGUAACGGCUUACCAAGGCAACGAUGCGUAGCCGACCUGAGAGGGGGAGCGGCCACAGUGGAGCUGCGACCCGGCCCAGACACCGACGGGAGGACGAAGGAGGGGAUUUUCAGAAAGGGGCAAAGACCUAACGGAGCAACCCCGGGGGAAAGAAGAAGGUUUUCGGAUCGAAAAACUUUGUUAUUAGGGAAAAAAAAAUGGGUAAGUAACUCUGCACGUCUGAACGGUACCUAAUCAAAAAGCCACGGCUAACUACGU